CAGCCGCCGCGGUAAUACGUAGGGUGCGAGCGUUAAUCGGAAUUACUGGGCGUAAAGCGUCUGUAGGUGGCUUUUCAAGUCCGCCGUCAAAUCCCAGGGCUCAACCCUGGACAGGCGGUGGAAACUACCAAGCUGGAGUACGGUAGGGGCAGAGGGAAUUUCCAGUGGAGCGGUGAAAUGCGUUGAGAUCGAAAAGAACACCAACAGCGAAAGCACUCUGCUGGGACGACACUGACACUAAGAGACGAAAGCUAGGGGAGCAAAUGGGAUUAGAUACCCCUGUAGUCCCUGUCUCUUAUAC
RNAcentral lists this ribosomal RNA (301 nucleotides) under uncultured bacterium. RNAcentral's name for it is "partial 16S ribosomal RNA". It matches the Rfam family "Bacterial small subunit ribosomal RNA", at positions 509 to 807 of the family's 1533-position model. The record is from RNAcentral.